GGGUUGUGAGGUUAAGCGACUAAGCGUACACGGUGGAUGCCCUGGCAGUCAGAGGCGAUGAAGGGCGUGCUAAUCUGCGAUAAGCGCCGGUAAGGUGAUAUGAACCGUUAUAACCGGCGAUACCCGAAUGGGGAAACCCAGUGUGACUCGUCACACUAUCAUUAACUGAAUCCAUAGGUUAAUGAGGCGAACCGGGGGAACUGAAACAUCUAAGUACCCCGAGGAAAAGAAAUCAACCGAGAUUCCCCCAGUAGCGGCGAGCGAACGGGGAGGAGCCCAGAGCCUGAAUCAGCAUGUGUGUUAGUGGAAGCGUCUGGAAAGGCGCGCGAUACAGGGUGACAGCCCCGUACACAAAAGCGCAUGUGCUGUGAGCUCGAUGAGUAGGGCGGGACACGUGGUAUCCUGUCUGAAUAUGGGGGGACCAUCCUCCAAGGCUAAAUACUCCUGACUGACCGAUAGUGAACCAGUACCGUGAGGGAAAGGCGAAAAGAACCCCGGCGAGGGGAGUGAAAAAGA
RNAcentral lists this ribosomal RNA (516 nucleotides) under Salmonella enterica subsp. enterica serovar Chicago. RNAcentral describes it as "partial 23S ribosomal RNA". It matches the Rfam family "Bacterial large subunit ribosomal RNA", at positions 1 to 547 of the family's 2925-position model. Lineage: Bacteria; Pseudomonadati; Pseudomonadota; Gammaproteobacteria; Enterobacterales; Enterobacteriaceae. The record is from RNAcentral.